RNAcentral lists this ribosomal RNA (370 nucleotides) under Planctomycetaceae bacterium. Its description in RNAcentral is "bacterial LSU rRNA". It matches the Rfam family "Bacterial large subunit ribosomal RNA", at positions 2556 to 2925 of the family's 2925-position model. The record is from RNAcentral. Lineage: Bacteria; Pseudomonadati; Planctomycetota; Planctomycetia; Planctomycetales; Planctomycetaceae.
AAGAAGCUCCCAAGGGUUUGGCUGUUCGCCAAUGAAAGUGGUACGUGAGCUGGGUUCAGACCGUCGUGAGACAGGUCGGUCCCUAUCUGCCGUGGGCGCGCGAAGCUUGAGGGGGUUCUUCUUUAGUACGAGAGGAUUUGGAAGGACGUAGCUCUGGUGUACCAGUUGUCGCGCUAGCGGCACGGCUGGAUAGCUAACUACGGAACGGAUAAACGCUGAAAGCAUCUAAGCGUGAAGCCCGCCCCAAGAUUAGGCUUCGUAAGCGCGAUCGCGCGAAAGUCCCCUGGAAGACGACCAGGUUGAUAGGCCGGAAGUGUAAGCACGGUAACGUGUUCAGCUAACCGGUACUAAAGGACGAAAGCUUGGCCAC